Molecule: long non-coding RNA, 2686 nt
Filed under: Gadus morhua (Atlantic cod)
Lineage: Eukaryota; Metazoa; Chordata; Actinopteri; Gadiformes; Gadidae
Description: lncRNA (ENSGMOG00000028666.1)
Source: RNAcentral
AAAUCCUACGGCGUCGACAGCUCGCUCAGACCUGCGGGUCGGUCCAAGUGAGACCCGCUCGAGCCUCUCCUCCCAGUGGUUGAUGUGGUCUUUGCGAUGUCUUUAUACGCUGUCGUAGCUCCGUGCCCAUUCACGUCACCACAAUGUUUCCUUCCUUUGGCUCACUGAUUGGCAGUAGCGGUGGUCGUGUUCUCGACAACAACACACACGGUUUUGUUUUGCUGUCUGCACAGGAGCGCGCAACGUUAGGUGUAACGCCUAAUUAUGUUAAUAAUUGGCGUGUCUGUUUAAUUUCUAAUGUGUUUUUGUACUCAUUGACCAAACGAUCGGCUUACGGAUUUUGUUUGAGUUCAGAGAUUAAGGUCAGAAUUCUGAUUUAAAAAUCGGAAUCCUGACUUAAAUCUCAAAAAUCUAAGAAUAAUAAUCACAUACUGCCCUCAUCCUCUUCCUAUGGGCUUUUCGUCACAUGAAUAAAUCGUGCUGUAGGUCAAAGUUAGGAACUAUAAAUUGGCGCUGCCAGAGCACCGCAGACUUGCCCCAAGCGUCCGUUGCUAUGGUUACGACAUAGCGAGCGAGAGGGAGGAAGUGGUAAGCUAGCUCUUAUAUGGUUGUACUCUGACGGUAAUUAUUCUAAAAUUUAUAUUAAAGAUGUCCCAUAAACAUGGUUAGUGACGUUACCAGGUUAAAUAGGAGGGUUUAGGAUUGGAUUGAGUUGCGUGUGAAGAGUAGACAACGUAUAGUGAUCACUUAUAGGCUAUGGCUCAUGUUGUUGCUACCGAGUCUGGUGAAAUAACUCACCAAAGGGACUUCAGAACCCGAACUGCACCGGGUAAGUGGGCCUAUGGAUUACCCCCCUUCUUAUUGUGGUGUAUCCCCUUCUCUCCUGUUUUCUGUAUAUUUCCUCUAAAAAAAAACGUGUGAAGUUGACGGCAGCAUCUCUCUUCCAUCAGGGUGUGUUAAUCGUUCCAAAUUAAUGCAAGUCAAAAGCAUACAACCUAAUCUUCAUUCACCAAAGCCUCCCACUGACUCCCGGAAGCAAGAAGAAAUGACUGGAGCCCUGACGCGGAGGAUACGAACAGGCCAGCAAGGCUGUAAAACAGUUGAAGAGGCUGAGGGCCAGCUCUGCCAAGCGGAGGGCACAUUGUUGCUGCGCCACACAGGGCACAGAGGGCCCCGCUACGACCAUCAAGGCGUGGUUCUGCCCCACAGCAUUCUGGGUAACCUGCAGGACUUCAAGAGUUAUUUGGAGACCAGGGGAGAAACUGAGGUAAAUAGGGAAUGAGUAAAUAUGUGCCGGGAUGGGUUUCCCUUAAAAGGGAGGCACUCUAACAAGUAAAAGGUAGAAUUGUAUUAUUGGUAUGUGUUCCAUUUAUUAUAAGGUUAGAAUAACUAUUAAUGACACAACGUGUAUUUGACUCAGAGCCACACACAUGGAAUCUGUGGCUCAAUUGUGUUGGUGUGUAUGUCUGCGCUCGUGUGUGUGUGUGUGUGUGUGUGUGUGUGUGUGUGUGUGUGUGUGUGCGUGCGUGAGUGAGUGUGUGUGUGUGUGUGCGCAUGCAUGUGCAUGUCAUUUACCAAACUGACAUUGUCAUUGAUUACUGAAGGACCAAUUCAGUGGACUACUCAGAAUUCUCAAGACUGGACUAUAAGCGGUCGAAACUCUUGGUGACUUGGUGCUCACCCCCUCUUCCCUGUCCUCCCUCCGCGGCCCCCAGUCAGUCCGGAGGCUGCGGGAGACCACCACAGAGGCUCUGAGUGGACCCUCCUCCUCAGCCCCGGGGGGGGGGCACGCAUACAGAGGGGCUGAGGACAGAGGCGGCGGGCUCUCUGCCGGCCAGGCACACACCCAGAGCCACGCCCUGCAGCACUGGAGCACACGCAUGAGGCAGCGGCGGCGGCAGCAGGAGUCUCUAGCCAGUGAGUUAACGUAGGAGCCAGUCUCAGGGGAACCGGCUGCAACAGGAUGGUGUCUAUUCUUACCUUUGUACAAUAGAGUUAAAUGCGUAUGCAAAUUAGAUUGAAGGUAAAAUGCAUGGAUCACCUUCAGAAUAUCACUCCGCAGAAGACUCACAGGACAUUGGCGUGAUGGAGCCGGCAAACAUGAGGCUUCACUGCCGACCUUUCAACCCAGCUGAAACCUCGUCGCCACAAACAUCUAUUCACUAAACCAAUCAAACGCUUAAACACAAUGGAGCUCAAAGAAACAUGAACAGGGGGCGCGAUAUUAACCCAAAUAACAUAGGAAUCAGUCCAAGGGUCAUCACGGUUUAAUAUUGAGAAGAAACCCAUUCAUCCAAAUGCUUACAUUGGUGAUACCAAUCCAGGUCCUUUGAGGAGCAAGCGUUGGGGGUAAGGAUGUCUAUGCAGGUUGGCCUGUGUGCUUUGGGGAUUGAAGCCAGCAGAGCAUACCUUACAGUAGGGGUCGGGCACCCUAUUCUCCACCCCAUGCCCUAACGCCCCCCAGUGAGUGACGAUGUGAAUACAACACCACUACAGUCACUAAAGAUGGAACUGCACCAUGGCAGUCCACACCAGUCAGGGAAUGAGUUAUAUACACGUUUAAUUUGUAUUAUAUAAAAUAUAUAAUAUUAUUACAUAGUAUUUAUGUUCUAAACAAUAUGUAAUAUCACCGUUGUUUUUUUUAAAGUCUUUAUGUUUCUCCUCUUCGUCUAAGAGUCGCUCCACA